GACGAACGCUGGCGGCGUGCUUAACACAUGCAAGUCGAACGGUGAUGCUCCAGCUUGCUGGAGUGGAUCAGUGGCGAACGGGUGAGUAACACGUGAGCAACCUGCCCCAGACUCUGGAAUAAGCGCUGGAAACGGCGUCUAAUACUGGAUACGAAACUGGCCCGCAUGGGCAUGGUUUGGAAAGUUUUUCGGUUUGGGAUGGGCUCGCGGCCUAUCAGCUUGUUGGUGAGGUAAUGGCUCACCAAGGCGACGACGGGUAGCCGGCCUGAGAGGGCGACCGGCCCCACUGGGACUGAGACACGGCCCAGACUCCUACGGGAGGCAGCAGUGGGGAAUAUUGCACAAUGGGCGAAAGCCUGAUGCAGCGACGCCGCGUGAGGGAUGACGGCCUUCGGGUUGUAAUCCUCUUUCAGCAGGGAAGAAGCGAAAGUGACGGUACCUGCAGAAGAAGCACCGGCUAACUACGUG
RNAcentral lists this ribosomal RNA (468 nucleotides) under uncultured bacterium. Its description in RNAcentral is "partial 16S ribosomal RNA". It matches the Rfam family "Bacterial small subunit ribosomal RNA", at positions 28 to 507 of the family's 1533-position model. The record is from RNAcentral.